Molecule: long non-coding RNA, 639 nt
Organism: Ictalurus furcatus (blue catfish)
Lineage: Eukaryota; Metazoa; Chordata; Actinopteri; Siluriformes; Ictaluridae
Exons: 2
Source: RefSeq, a predicted model, not a curated record
CGACAUCACUGGUUUAUAUGAUUGCAUUUGUUCUAAUACGUUAUAGUUUCCAUAGUAACAGCAAAUUCAUAGGGACUUAUAUGGUUGAUGCUCCACAUAAACAGAUUACGCACAAUGUUUUUAAAUAGUUGAUAUACGGACGUUUUUUUUUUUUUUUUUUUGUUGAGACAUUUUAGGAAGGAGUCUUCCAAAGGAGUGUCAGCAGUUUAUAACGGUAUAAAGCGGUAACUUUAAGUUUUCUGACACAUCUUCAGGAUGGAGGAUUUGUGCUGUCUGUGGUUUCUAGGUAACAUGAUAAACAAUGACCCCCCCCCCCCCCUUAUUAACUUCAAUUUGCGAGAGAAAAGCGAUUCUGGAGAUGGAAUGACUGUUUAGAGCUGCUACAAUAAGCACACGGGAAAGAGACGAGUCGUUUCGGUACCUCCGACAAUCCCGAUACAUAAGUACAGGUGUGUGAUGGUGGUGCUGAAUGAAGCCGCCACCAUGGAGAUACUGCACAUGAGGCCUCCUGUGAUAACCACAGGCCUGCUGCCAUAGCGGUUCACCAACACACUGCUCACUGGACCUGGACACAGACAGACAGAAAGAGUGUGAAUUAAUACCGGUAGGGCUGUACAAUGAACCACAUUAUAAACCUGG